This 468-nucleotide ribosomal RNA is filed under the name uncultured bacterium. Its description in RNAcentral is "partial 16S ribosomal RNA". It matches the Rfam family "Bacterial small subunit ribosomal RNA", at positions 28 to 507 of the family's 1533-position model. The record is from RNAcentral.
GACGAACGCUGGCGGCGUGCUUAACACAUGCAAGUCGAACGGAAAGGCCCUGCUUUUGUGGGGUGCUCGAGUGGCGAACGGGUGAGUAACACGUGAGUAACCUGCCCUUGACUUUGGGAUAACUUCAGGAAACUGGGGCUAAUACCGGAUAGGAGCUCCUGCAGCAUGGUGGGGGUUGGAAAGUUUCGGCGGUUGGGGAUGGACUCGCGGCUUAUCAGCUUGUUGGUGGGGUAGUGGCUUACCAAGGCUUUGACGGGUAGCCGGCCUGAGAGGGUGACCGGCCACAUUGGGACUGAGAGACGGCCCAGACUCCUACGGGAGGCAGCAGUGGGGAAUAUUGCACAAUGGGCGGAAGCCUGAUGCAGCAACGCCGCGUGCGGGAUGACGGCCUUCGGGUUGUAAACCGCUUUCGCCUGUGACGAAGCGUGAGUGACGGUAAUGGGUAAAGAAGCACCGGCUAACUACGUG